GACGAACGCUGGCGGCGUGCUUAACACAUGCAAGUCGAACGGAAAGGCCCUGCUUGCAGGGUGCUCGAGUGGCGAACGGGUGAGUAACACGUGGGUGAUCUGCCCCUUACUUUGGGAUAAGCCUGGGAAACUGGGUCUAAUACUGGAUAGGACCAUGCUGUAGGUGGUGUGAUGGAAAGAUUAGUUUCGGUAAGGGAUGAGCUCGCGGCCUAUCAGCUUGUUGGUGGGGUAAUGGCCUACCAAGGCGUCGACGGGUAGCCGGCCUGAGAGGGUGGACGGCCACAUUGGGACUGAGAUACGGCCCAGACUCCUACGGGAGGCAGCAGUGGGGAAUAUUGCACAAUGGGCGCAAGCCUGAUGCAGCGACGCCGCGUGGGGGAUGACGGCCUUCGGGUUGUAAACUCCUUUCAGCCAUGACGAAGCCCUUGUGGUGACGGUAGUGGUAGAAGAAGCACCGGCUAACUACGUG
Molecule: ribosomal RNA, 469 nt
Filed under: uncultured bacterium
Lineage: Bacteria
Description: partial 16S ribosomal RNA
Rfam family: Bacterial small subunit ribosomal RNA
Source: RNAcentral